Molecule: long non-coding RNA, 1011 nt
Filed under: Diabrotica virgifera virgifera (western corn rootworm)
Lineage: Eukaryota; Metazoa; Arthropoda; Insecta; Coleoptera; Chrysomelidae
Description: uncharacterized LOC126885945
Source: RNAcentral
ACUUUUCAUGUAAUUGCAAUUUAAAAUAUGUCUUAUUUUUAAAAAUCGCCGCCAUUUUCCGCCAUUAUAUACCAUGAAACAACAAGAAACGACAGGAAUGACAACCGUUUUAUAAACGCAAGAAGGAGAAUCCUAACAGUGUUGCCAUAGUUAUAUAAAAUAUGUUUUCUUAUGAAAAUUACAAUUUUUCAAUUCUUAAAUAUGUCAUUUUACUUAUUCUGACGCAUUUUUAACACAAAAUGACUGCUUUAUUACAAGGGUCAGGUUAGUUCUGGUUAGGUUUCGUUACGUUAGGUUAGAUUACAUCAAGUUUAUUAAUAUUAUAGUGAUUUAUGAUUAUAUUUUAAUAAAUAAAUUCUGUGGGAUUCCCAGAAUACACUUUCAAGGUUGGAAUGAAAUUUUGUGUAUUUCAUGGUUAUGUACUGUCACUGAUUUCGGGAAACCAUGUUGCCAUGUGAAUGACAAAAGAUAAUUUCACAUGAAAACAUCGAUUUUUGUCCAUUUAAGCGUACCAUUGAUUUGGAAUAUUUAUGCAAACCUCUAAAUUUGGCAACUGUUUUUGAAAAAUUGGUAGAUGCAUGCAUUGACGCAUUUUUUAAACAGUUUAUUGUUAGUUUUUAGUUUGUUAGGUCGGUUGUUUGUGCUGCGCCCUGGAUUUGGGCGUUGUCUGUUGCAUCAUAUACAAAUUUGUGAAAGUGAAGUUAGUUUAUCGGGUUUGGACCGAAGGGUUAGGCCUUCCUCCUUUCAGACCGCCUGCGCCCAAUUGCAAUCUGCCCAGUUUAUCAUUAAAUAAAGGUGAAGUGAGACUAAAUGGUGUGUAGGUGUUACGAAAGUAAAUUUAAGUACAAUUAAGGUGUGGCUUUAAUACCUAUAUUCACAAAGAAAAGGCCUCUUUCGAAGCUAGUAAACUGCAGGCAGAGGAAAUAAAUAUGUUGGUGGCAACUUUUAUUACAUUUAAAGCCACGAAUUUGGCUUUGGACUCUCAAAUUGCAUCGAUCUAUAGCUGUUUUG